This 253-nucleotide ribosomal RNA is filed under the name uncultured bacterium. Its description in RNAcentral is "partial 16S ribosomal RNA". It matches the Rfam family "Bacterial small subunit ribosomal RNA", at positions 524 to 776 of the family's 1533-position model. The record is from RNAcentral.
GACGAACCGUCCAAACGUUAUUCGGUAUCACUGGGCUUAAAGGGUGCGUAGGCUGCCGGAUAAGUUGGGUGUGAAAGCCCUCGGCUCAACCGAGGAAUUGCGCCCAAAACUGUCUGGCUUGAGGGAGAUAGAGGUGAGCGGAACUUAGGGUGGAGCGGUGAAAUGCGUUGAUAUCCUAAGGAACACCCGUGGCGAAGGCGGCUCACUGGGUCUUUCCUGACGCUGAGGCACGAAAGCUAGGGGAGCGAACGGG